GACGAACGCUGGCGGCGUGCUUAACACAUGCAAGUCGAACGGAAAGGCCCUGCUUUUGUGGGGUGCUCGAGUGGCGAACGGGUGAGUAACACGUGAGUAACCUGCCCUUGACUUUGGGAUAACUUCAGGAAACUGGGGCUAAUACCGGAUAGGAUCUCCUGCUGCAUGGUGGGGGUUGGAAAGUUUCGGCGGUUGGGUAUGGACUCGCGGCUUAUCAGCUUGUUGGUGGGGUAGUGGCUUACCAAGGCUUUGACGGGUAGCCGGCCUGAGAGGGUGACCGGCCACAUUGGGACUGAGAUACGGCCCAGACUCCUACGGGAGGCAGCAGUGGGGAAUAUUGCACAAUGGGCGGAAGCCUGAUGCAGAAACGCCGCGUGCGGGAUGACGGCCUUCGGGUUGUAAACCGAUUUCGCAUGUGACGAAGCGUGAGUGACGGUAAUGGGUAAAGAAGCACCGGCUAACUACGUG
This 468-nucleotide ribosomal RNA is filed under the name uncultured bacterium. RNAcentral's name for it is "partial 16S ribosomal RNA". It matches the Rfam family "Bacterial small subunit ribosomal RNA", at positions 28 to 507 of the family's 1533-position model. The record is from RNAcentral.